RNAcentral lists this transfer RNA (56 nucleotides) under Calumma marojezense. RNAcentral's name for it is "tRNA-Ser". The record is from RNAcentral. Lineage: Eukaryota; Metazoa; Chordata; Lepidosauria; Squamata; Chamaeleonidae.
GAAGGGUACAAGGAACUGCUAAUCCCUACCACUGGUACUAACCUACCAAACCUUUC